RNAcentral lists this long non-coding RNA (557 nucleotides) under Homo sapiens (human). RNAcentral describes it as "HSALNT0269095". Lineage: Eukaryota; Metazoa; Chordata; Mammalia; Primates; Hominidae. The record is from RNAcentral.
UUGGGGAGUAAUGGUUUGCCCCAUGACCUCUCUUGCCAUAAGAAUCUAAAAGAACUGUUUGGUUUUUAGUUUGGUUAGCCUUCUCCUUGUUGUUAGGAUGAAGUGCUGACUCCCAAGCUUCGUGCUUGCUGGACUGGAAAUUGGAAGUCUGCCUGCCAGUUUUAAGAACCUAAAAAGUGAUGAACUGAAAAUGUCAGGCUGAGCUGACCAGCGCUUAUCCUCAUGUGACCUUGGGUGAAUUAAUGGACAUCUCUGAACCUCCAUUUUCUCCUGUGUAAAAUAGCAGCUGCAGCAAAAAUGAAAUAUCAAUAAUCUCUGAAAAGAAUUUAGCUCAGUGUUUGGUGAAGAUUGCCUCUCCUGAAGUCUAGAAAAGGGCUGGUUUGGUUGGAAGGCUGUGCCACGUGGCAAGAAGAGAAUAAACAUCUUGGGAAUUCUGGCUGUGCUGUACAUUUGCUGUGUGGCCUUCGGCAAGCUACUGACUUCUCUGAACUCAGGAUCUACAAACUGAGGAUAAGCAACAGGAGAAUCUCUGUGAAGUACUUUAAAAACAGGAGAUG